GUCGCGAACGACUCGUAUAAACAGUCAAUUUGCAAUAAGCGGCUUAUUGCAAAUUGACUGUUUAUACGAGUCGUUCGCGACUU
This 83-nucleotide microRNA precursor is filed under the name Paramuricea clavata. The record is from RNAcentral. Lineage: Eukaryota; Metazoa; Cnidaria; Anthozoa; Malacalcyonacea; Plexauridae.